GAUGAACGCUGGCGGCGUGCCUAAUACAUGCAAGUCGAGCGAACAGACGAGGAGCUUGCUCCUCUGACGUUAGCGGCGGACGGGUGAGUAACACGUGGAUAACCUACCUAUAAGACUGGGAUAACUUCGGGAAACCGGAGCUAAUACCGGAUAAUAUAUUGAACCGCAUGGUUCAAUAGUGAAGGACGGUUUUGCUGUCACUUAUAGAUGGAUCCGCGCCGCAUUAGCUAGUUGGUAAGGUAACGGCUUACCAAGGCGACGAUGCGUAGCCGACCUGAGAGGGUGAUCGGCCACACUGGAACUGAGACAUGGUCCAGACUCCUACGGGAGGCAGCAGUAGGGAAUCUUCCGCAAUGGGCGAAAGCCUGACGGAGCAACGCCGCGUGAGUGAUGAAGGUCUUCGGAUCGUAAAACUCUGUUAUUAGGGAAGAACAAAUGUGUAAGUAACUAUGCACGUCUUGACGGUACCUAAUCAGAAAGCCACGGCUAACUACGUG
RNAcentral lists this ribosomal RNA (497 nucleotides) under uncultured bacterium. RNAcentral's name for it is "partial 16S ribosomal RNA". It matches the Rfam family "Bacterial small subunit ribosomal RNA", at positions 28 to 507 of the family's 1533-position model. The record is from RNAcentral.